Mesocricetus auratus (golden hamster) is the source of this 654-nucleotide long non-coding RNA. RefSeq lists it as uncharacterized. The transcript has 2 exons. Lineage: Eukaryota; Metazoa; Chordata; Mammalia; Rodentia; Cricetidae. The record is from RefSeq and is a predicted model, not a curated record.
ACUCUUUCUAUGCAGCCACACAUUUAAUGCACUGAUAGUGUAUAAAGAGAACAGAAUAACACAAUGAACACCACACACCAUAGGCUGCUGCCAGCAGAGACCCUGACCAAAGCAUCAGUAUUCCAUUCCAACUGUUAGUGCUGGGCAACUCCUGAUGAUCAAUCUGAAUCAACACAACCCACAGGAAGAUUGGGUCUACUUCCCAGCAGAUUUUCUGAAGAAGACGCUGGCCAUGCAGAAGCAGCGUGGAGCGAGGACUCUGACCUGCACUCAGGUUGGCUCUGGUUCAGACCAUGCCUCUGAGAAGAAAGUCAGCUUGGAGCAGUGAGUACAGGCAAGGUCAAGGCUUCUCCAUCACCACAUGAAAGUAACUAUCCACGAAUGCCCUCCCGAGACUGAGGAAGCCUAGUCUCACACGGGCAGAAAGAGUCUGCUGAGCCCCAGGUGUUCCCAGAACGUGGCACUCAGCAGUGGAGAAUCUAUUCCUGAACAGAAACGCUGUCUUACCCCUGGUAGAAGAAAGGCAUCUGCGGCAGCCAGAGGUAGUGACUGUUCUAACGGGGCAAAGGACAAAUGGGAACAGUGUUGGAGCCUGUAUGACUGUGUCAGCAUUCUUCUCGUUCACCCUCUCAGAAAUAAACAAUUGAAAGCACA